UUUGGCCCGUUAAGUCAAACGGAGGGCAUUUUGGUCAUUUCGCCUUCCGAGGUGAUUUUUGGCCGACUUGCCCAGUUGAGUAAAUAAUUAAUAUGACAUAAAAUAUAAAGAAAUAUUACUAGAAAUGAAAUUUAAAAUGAGUAGUGAAGGAAAGGAAAGAAAAUGAAGAAAAAGAUCAAUUAUGGCAUCAUGGUGAUGUCAUUAAGGGAGUUGGACCAAUCACACUUAAGCCAUUGUUUGACUAACUAUUAAAAGAGACUAAAUAAGACCAAAAUAACAAAAUUUCAGCAGCCAUCUUCCUCACCCAAAAACGUUACAUUCUCUCCCAAAACCCUAUUCUUCCAUGGGAGCUUAAUGGAAGCUUGAGACAACCCACCAAAUCACCAUAAAACCUUUAGUCAUCUUCACAAAAAUUUGCCCUAGCACCUUGCUAAAGCUUUUGGCAGCCAAGAAGAAGAAAGAAAGUGAAGCUUUCUCAAGCUUGGAUUGGCAUACAACAAGGUACUGGAGAUCCCGAUCGUGAGCCCAGUAGACCACAGACUGGGUGAGUCUAUCUGACAGUUCUGCUCAGUGUCCGUGUCACCUCACUACCUGCAGUGCAUCGGUAGGGCACUAGGUGUCAUUUUGUCAUUUUGAUAUUUUGUAGCAGAUUUGUAUUUUCUCAUAUGUAUUUGAACUCAUGUAAUAUAUUUUGAUGUAUAUGUAAAUUAUGAAAAUUGUAUUUGUUAAUGGAAAAGUAGAUGUUUACUUGUGAUUUA
Molecule: long non-coding RNA, 758 nt
Organism: Hevea brasiliensis (rubber tree)
Lineage: Eukaryota; Viridiplantae; Streptophyta; Magnoliopsida; Malpighiales; Euphorbiaceae
Exons: 2
Source: RefSeq, a predicted model, not a curated record